Molecule: ribosomal RNA, 386 nt
Filed under: uncultured bacterium
Lineage: Bacteria
Description: bacterial SSU rRNA
Rfam family: Bacterial small subunit ribosomal RNA
Source: RNAcentral
AUUGAACGCUGGCGGCAUGCCUUACACAUGCAAGUCGAACGGCAGCACGGGAGCUUGCUCCUGGUGGCGAGUGGCGAACGGGUGAGUAAUGCAUCGGAACGUGCCCUGAAGUGGGGGAUAACGUAGCGAAAGUUACGCUAAUACCGCAUAUUCUGUGAGCAGGAAAGCAGGGGAUCUUCGGACCUUGCGCUUUUGGAGCGGCCGAUGUCGGAUUAGCUAGUUGGUGGGGUAAAGGCCCACCAAGGCGACGAUCCGUAGCGGGUCUGAGAGGAUGAUCCGCCACACUGGAACUGAGACACGGUCCAGACUCCUACGGGAGGCAGCAGUGGGGAAUUUUGGACAAUGGGCGCAAGCCUGAUCCAGCCAUGCCGCGUGAGUGAAGAAGG